RNAcentral lists this long non-coding RNA (1118 nucleotides) under Mytilus galloprovincialis (Mediterranean mussel). Lineage: Eukaryota; Metazoa; Mollusca; Bivalvia; Mytilida; Mytilidae. The record is from RNAcentral.
GGGGCCCAAAGGGUCAAAAUUAAACUUUUGUUUGAUUUCAUCAAAAUUGAAUAAAUUGGGGUUCUUUGAUAUUGCUGAAUCUAACUGUCAUGACUGUGUAUGUAGAUUCUUAACUUUUGGUCCCGUUUUCAAAUUGGUCUACAUUAAGGUCCAAAGGGUCCAAAAUUAAACUUAGUCUGAUUUUAACAAAAAUUGAAAUCUUGAAGUUCUUUGAUAUGCUGAAUCCAAAAAUGUACUUAGAUUUUUUAUUAUGGGCCCAGUUUUCAAGUUGGUCCAAAUCAGGAUCUAAAAUUAUUAUAUUAAGUAUUGUGCAAUAGCAAGUCUUUUCAAUUGCACAGUAUUGCGCAAUGGCAAGAAAUAUCUAAUUGCACAAUAUUGUGAAAUAGCAAAUUUUUUUUUAAUUAGAGUUAUCUUUCUUUGUCCAGAAUAGUAAGCAAGAAAUAUCUAAUUGCAAAAUAUUGUGCAAUAGCAAGAUUUUUUUUUAAUUGGAGUUAUCUUUCUUUGUCCAGAACCAACUUAAAUCUUUGUUAUAUACAAUAUACAAUGUAUAUUCACUUUUUACUACCAACUGAUAAAUUAAAAUAAUCUUUACCAUUCAGUGAUAACAAGCAGUUUUUUUACAUCUUAAUAUUUUAUGAUGUAUUUAAAUGAGUAGUUAUUGUUGCAAACUCCAUUAGAAAUUUUAAUUGAGAUUAGUUUUGGAAUAAGGGAAAGGGGGAUGUGAUUAAAAAAAUUGGGUUCAAUUUUUCUCAUUUGAAAUUUCAUAAAUAAAAAAGAAAAUUUCUUCAAACAUUUUUUUGAGAGGAUUAAUAUUCAACCACAUAGUGAAUUGCUCUAAGAGAAACAAAAAUUUUAAGUUCAUUAGAACACAUUCAUUCUGUGUCAGAAACCUAUGCUGUGUCAACUAUUUAAUCACAAUCCAAAUUUAGAGCUGAAUCCAGCUUGAAUGUUGUGUCCAUACUUGCCCUAACCGUUCAGGGUUCAACCUCUGCGGUCGUAUAAAGCUACGCCCUGCGGAGCAUCUGGUUCAAAAUAUUAGGAGUUAUCAAGCCAAACAAGAAUGACUAUAUCAUAUAUGUUAUUUUCUUGCAGUUUAUUUAAAAUUGCAUGGCCUAAAA